AACGAACGCUGGCGGCAUGCCUAACACAUGCAAGUCGAACGAGACCUUCGGGUCUAGUGGCGCACGGGUGCGUAACGCGUGGGAAUCUGCCCUUGGGUUCGGAAUAACAGUUGGAAACGACUGCUAAUACCGGAUGAUGACGUAAGUCCAAAGAUUUAUCGCCCAAGGAUGAGCCCGCGUAGGAUUAGCUAGUUGGUGAGGUAAAGGCUCACCAAGGCGACGAUCCUUAGCUGGUCUGAGAGGAUGAUCAGCCACACUGGGACUGAGACACGGCCCAGACUCCUACGGGAGGCAGCAGUGGGGAAUAUUGGACAAUGGGCGAAAGCCUGAUCCAGCAAUGCCGCGUGAGUGAUGAAGGCCUUAGGGUUGUAAAGCUCUUUUACCCGGGAAGAUAAUGACUGUACCGGGAGAAUAAGCCCCGGCUAAACUCCGUGCCAGCAGCCGCGGUAAU
This 451-nucleotide ribosomal RNA is filed under the name uncultured bacterium. RNAcentral's name for it is "bacterial SSU rRNA". It matches the Rfam family "Bacterial small subunit ribosomal RNA", at positions 29 to 524 of the family's 1533-position model. The record is from RNAcentral.